GCAUGUGGUUUAAUUCGAAGCAACGCGAAGAACCUUACCAGGUCUUGACAUCCUUUGACCACUCUGGAGACAGAGCUUUCCCUUCGGGGACAAAGUGACAGGUGGUGCAUGGUUGUCGUCAGCUCGUGUCGUGAGAUGUUGGGUUAAGUCCCGCAACGAGCGCAACCCUUGAUUUUAGUUGCCAGCAUUUAGUUGGGCACUCUAAAGUGACUGCCGGUGCAAGCCGGAGGAAGGUGGGGAUGACGUCAAAUCAUCAUGCCCCUUAUGACCUGGGCUACACACGUGCUACAAUGGAUAGUACAAAGGGUCGCGAAGCCGCGAGGUGGAGCUAAUCCCAUAAAACUAUUCUCAGUUCGGAUUGUAGGCUGCAACUCGCCUACAUGAAGCCGGAAUCGCUAGUAAUCGUGGAUCAGCAUGCCACGGUGAAUACGUUCCCGGGCCUUGUACACACCGCCCGUCACACCACGAGAGUUUGUAACACCCGAAGUCGGUAGGGUAACCUUUAUGGAGCCAGCCGCCGAAGGUGGGACAGAUAAUUGGGGUGAAGUCGUAACAAGGUAGCCGUAUCGGAAGGUGCGGCUGGAUCACCUCCUUUCUAAGGAA
This 603-nucleotide ribosomal RNA is filed under the name Listeria monocytogenes. RNAcentral's name for it is "bacterial SSU rRNA". It matches the Rfam family "Bacterial small subunit ribosomal RNA", at positions 937 to 1533 of the family's 1533-position model. The record is from RNAcentral. Lineage: Bacteria; Bacillati; Bacillota; Bacilli; Caryophanales; Listeriaceae.